This 761-nucleotide ribosomal RNA is filed under the name Specklinia trilobata. RNAcentral's name for it is "eukaryotic LSU rRNA". The stretch from base 320 to 475 matches the Rfam family "5.8S ribosomal RNA". The record is from RNAcentral. Lineage: Eukaryota; Viridiplantae; Streptophyta; Magnoliopsida; Asparagales; Orchidaceae.
CCGUGACUCUGCGAGAAGUCCAUUGAACCUUAUCAUUUAGAGGAAGGAGAAGUCGUAACAAGGUUUCCGUAGGUGAACCUGCGGAAGGAUCAUUGUCGAGACCGAAAUAUAUCGAGCGAUUCGGACAACACGUGAACGAGCGGAGGCACAUGCCGACGCGGUAUUCCGUCUCCUUCACCGGCCUCAUAAAUGAGGCCAUGUUGAGAGGCGGAAAAAAACUCAAACCGGCGCAGCUACGCGCCAAGGGAAUACAAAUAGACACGAUCCCUCAUAGGGUUCGGUGGAGUGGAGUGCAGUUGCACACCACACGUAUUGAAACGACUCUCGGCAAUGGAUAUCUCGGCUCUCGCAUCGAUGAAGAGCGCAGCGAAAUGCGAUACGUGGUGCGAAUUGCAGAAUCCCGCGAACCAUCGAGAAUUUGAACGCAAGUUGCGCCCGAGGCCAUCCGGCCAAGGGCACGUCCGCCUGGGCGUCAAGCGUUUUGUCACUCCGUGCCAUCUCCAUCCCGCCCAACUGGCGAGUACGGGGAUGGUUGGAUGUGGAGAGUGGCUCGUCGUGCCUUUGGGCGUGGCGGGUUUAAGAGCGGGUGAUCGUCUCGUUGUCCACGAGCAACAGGGGGUGGAUGAUAAAUGUGCCUGUGUUGUAUCGUGCCGACGUGAGAAGAGAUUACACCAAGCGAAUGAUCCCAGUCCAAGCGCCGUCCACGGACGUCGGCUUGGAAUGCGACCCCAGGAUGGGCGAGGCCACCCGCUGAGUUUAAG